RNAcentral lists this unclassified non-coding RNA (227 nucleotides) under uncultured fungus. RNAcentral describes it as "sequence contains ITS1". The record is from RNAcentral. Lineage: Eukaryota; Fungi.
CACGUUGCUGCGGCGGUGGUAGAUGGCGGCUCUGCGCCGGAUCGGACGUUCAACUUGAUCGAACUGGCGUCCCCACUGCGCGAUGGAGUCGCCGGGGCGCACAAAGACAUGCAUCCCCUCGACCGGGCCCGGCAACGAAUUGCCACCGCACACCGAACACGGUUCGACACAGCCCGGUUCGUGCCCGGAGAAGAAGUCCUCGACCCCAUCGGCCUCCCCCUGCAGGU